GGCACGUGGAAAGGACAGGCAUCUGCUGUAGAGCAUGAGGAAUUCCACUCAUUAUUCCGCGAUAAACAUUCCGUGAUAACCUACAUUCCGCGAUAACCUACAUUCCGUGAUAACCUACGUGGGAAUGGAGUAUGUGUAUAUGUAUGUACUUGAAUCACUUUGCUGUAAAGCAGAAAUCAACACAUCAUUGCAAAUCAACUAUACUUCAAUAAAAAUUUUUAAAAAGAAAGAGAAUAUUGUCAGUAUACCUGCUCUGCACCGGGAGUUGGAAUAGAAUACUUUCCUUACAGACCCUGCAACGUUGGAAUGACCACAUACUUGGUCAACUUUACCUAAAUCUCUCGCUAGCUGUUGUGAUGGUUAAUUUUUUCUGCAUUUUGACACCAUACAGUGGUGUCAAAAAUGAACACAGUCACUGCUUUAAUUAAAAGUCCAGUACGUUGGGAGACAGGAAGUUUAAAUGAGCAGGAAUUGGAUGGAUGGCAUUUGAAAGAGUAUCAACCAGGCAAAGUGAAGAGCAUGGAUAAGAUCCCGCUAAAGGCAAGGGUUUCCUGUGACCAAGAAAAAACAACAAGAGGCCAUUGUGUUAGGACCAAGGCAUGAUGGAUUUUGGAGAAGCUUCGCCUUCUAAAAUGCCAGCUGCAGGACCAGAGGCUUCCUGCUGCAGGAAGGUCCUGCAUCCAUAGCCUACGUGUGAUGAGAAGCCAUGGGAAGUUUGGGGUCGUCGAGAGGGAUGAACGUAUCUCAGGAAGAAGUGAGGGGCCUGCUCUGCGAGGGCUGCGUUUGAGGAUGCUCUGUGGGGCGGGGCGGCUGGGAUGAGGGGGAAGGGGAGGCGGGGAACAAAUCCAGCUUGGAGGUGAACGUGGAGAAUGCGGGAAGGUCAGGAGGAGGACGGCCAGGCGUGAAAACCUAAAGGACCCUGACCCCAAAGCAAAGGGCCUGGGGGGGGGUGAGCUCUCUGAGACACUGAAGGUCUGAGGAUACCUAUCCCCCUCACCUGAGAGCUGAGGAGCGUAACUUCUAAGGGGAAAACUGUCUCCUUUCAGAACUCGAAAGCUGCAUCUCAUUGGACUCCCAGCUUCCGGUGUUUGGGAAGCAUGAGGGACUUCGAUUUUAACUUCUCCUCCAAAGUCCAUUGAGGUGGAGAAGAAUGAAUUUGUUUUGAUUUCUCUGUCUCUGUAGGAAACUUGCUUUUAUUUCUGUAAGGUAUUAGUUUUUUCUUCCCCCUUGGUAUUUUCAGAUUUCACAAAGGGAAAUCUUUUUUUUUUUUUUAUAAAGGUUUUGUAAAGGUUAAAAGCAUAUGGAGGUUCCCAGGCUAGGGGUCGAAUCAGAGCUGCAGCUGCCCACCUACACCGCAGCCACAGCAACCCCGGAUCCUUAACCCACUGAGCGAGGCCAGGGAUCGAACCCACGUGUCCUCAUGGAUGCUACCCAGGUUCAUUAACCACUGAGCCAUGACAGGAACUCCGGAUUUCACAAAUGGAAAUCUUCAUUUAGAUCAUUUCAUUCAAUCUGUGGGAUGCCGAGUAAAAUUUCAAGACAGCAUUGUUGAGUUCUAUUCCAGCAUUUUUUCUGGUACUAUUUUCUUAACACAUUUGUCUCCAUCAUUUUACACAGACAGAGGGAUGAUAUGUAGGAUUUUGCACACAAUUGCUUGCUUUUAUUUUAUUUUAGUUACAUUUGAAAAACAUUUCUCUUCUCUUUGUUUUUACACUGAUUCAGAGAAAAUUUCCUGCCCUUACCGUCAAACCCUGGUAUUGGCUUCCUUCUUCUAAAGUCCCAUGUGCCAUGAUUUUUCCUUUUUCCUGCUGCCUGUUUUCACUUGGUGGACGCAAUCUUCCCUCUCCAUCUUCUGGGCUUUUUUUUUUUUUUUUUUUUUUUUUUGUCUUUUUGUUUGUUUUUGUUUGUUUGUUUUAACCCUCGGCAUAUGGAAGUUCCCAGGCUAAGGGUUGAAUCAGCUGUCGCUGCCAGCCUACCCCACAGCCACAGCAAUGCAGGAACCGAGCUGCGUCUGUGACCUACACCACAGCUCACGGCAACACCAGAUCCUUAACCUGCUGAUCGAGGCCAGGGAUCGAACCUGCAACCUCAUGGAUACUAGUCGGGUUCAUUACUGCUGAGCCAGGAUACUCCAUCUUCUGGGCAUAUUAAUUGUAGAUUGUUUUACUCCCUUGGUUCUCAGGCUGCCCUGGAUUUUCCCUUCAUAUUUUCCAACUUCAUUUCCAGAGCUGAAUGCCAGCGUCUGGCCCCUUUCACUAAUGAGGCUGCGGUGUUUCCUAUGGGCUCCUUUUUUUGCAACUGUAGCUGUUUUGCGGUGAAGAUGGAGAGAGCGGUUGACCUGAGAAGUCACAACGUGCAGUUCUUCCAAUUUCACUUUCCAAGUUUCAACUCUCCCUCUGUUUCCCUGUGCUUCAAACAGAUCCACUGAAUGAUUCAUUUAAUAAAUUGUUCACAUGCCCGCUCCUGUCCUCUCCCUUAACCUGAAGCCCGAGGCGCUUUGAACAAACCAGUGAUGCUCAUUUUUUGUUUUAAUUUUUAGUAGUCCUCUUUAAAUGACUCGCACUACAAAUAAAGUGUAAAAUGCGACAACGAUUUGUGCUAUGGCAUCUUUGAAAGGAUGAAGGUUAAGAGGGGACGAUGGGUCCUUGUUGAAUUCAAUUUUGCCUGGCGUCAUUUGCCAGAAAAUAAAUGAAGGCUAAAUUAAGUGUCAUUUAAAGGGUACGCUGUUCUUGACGGUCGGUGAGGGGACGGAGCAGGUUAAAAGCAAAAUUGAUCCUUUCCCAUAAAAAUCAAAAGAGUUUUCAUAUUUUGUGUUUGUGCCGUGUUAGCAAGGAAAUGAUUGGCAGUCGGCCGUGGGCUGAAUCCAUGGAUGCAGGGCUUUGUCAGAUGCAAAAGUCAAUGGUUUAUGUUUACGGAGACAAUUGGGUUAAGGAAACCCUUCCCAGAAUGGAUUUUGCCGACGUUAUUCAUUGCAGCACUCAGUGCUCCCCUGGAAAUGCCAGCUAUCUGUUCUGUUCGCGUUUAUCACCAGUUUUCCAUUUUGUAGCGAAGAACACUUACAAAUUGGUAUUUACUUGUGUUUGGAGGAUUUAGAGAGAAUGCAUAAUCCCCCAAGAAAAGAAAAUGAGUCACUGUUAUGAUGUAUCUUUGUUGGUGGGUUUCGUCUUCCUGUUUGGAUUUCAGACACUACUUUAAUUCUCUAUCGGCUGUAGUUUUUUUCUUUCUCAUAGCAAAGAGAAAUAAGCCUAUUUGCUAUAAUUAAAAAUAAACCUGGUCGAGUAUGUGUAUUUUCUUCCGGGCCAAUCAGAGAUGUAAACCACCCAAACUGCUCUGACUGGUGGGACUUCUUUUCUUACAAAAGACUUCAAAAUAGAGGCCGUUUUGUUUUAAUUCUAUGGUAUUAAGAGAAUAUCAUGGAUUUUUUGAAGCUAUUCAAUUUGUUUAUGCUUGGCAAAAAAACCCAACAUUUCUGAUUUCAGCAUCUCCCCCCAUGUGCCACAAUAUUCCUAGCUGUGGUCUUGGAUUCCCAUCAUUUCAAAAUUUAUAUGCAUUUGCUAAUCAUUUGCAUUUUUUUCUAUGGUUGUUGUCUAAUCACAUAGUUAGCUCAUUUACCCUGAGAGAUUCCUGGGUUGUUGGGUUUUUUUAAUGUGCAUUUCUCUAUAUUUCUCAGUUUUACUUUUGUUUUUCUAAUCUUUUUGUUUCAGAUGUGCUUUUUGUGAUUUUUAACUUUUUAUUAAAGUAUGGUUAAUUUCUGCUGUACAGCAAAAGUGACUGCCACACACACAUAUUUACAGCUGAAUAAGCUAAGCAAGCCAGACCGACCUCGUCAGCUCCGCCAGGCCUGGUUUCCUAUCCCAGGCUUAUUCCAGACAACGCGCAGCCAACCCUCCUUACAUCUUGGCAGGUCGGGGAUGGGCACGGGACUUACCCUGGCCUAAAAUGUCUGAACUGAGUUCUCUUCUGUGCUCAGGAGGAGCAGUGUCUGUCUCCCCCUGAAUGCCAUAGUGCUUUGCACCAGCGGAGUUCUUUCCACGUUUGAUUGUUCGCCUGUUGAUCUGAUUUCUAUUGUUGACAAAAUGAAGAGUUCAGGCAAGUUGUUUUUAUUAACUCUUCCACAUGCUGAAUUUGUCUACUUCUUUCUCGUACUGAGACUCGUGUCGCACGUUUUCGGGAAGAACACGCCGUAUGUGAUGGGGGUGUUUUUGCAGAGUUAGGGGGUCGCCAAGGUCAUCCUCACUUCCGACCCCACUUGCAAGUUCUGGAUGCUUGAGACCACUGUCAGGUUCGAUCCUUCGCCAGAACCCACAGAACUCACACUGAAGGCUGUAGUGACCCUCAAUCACAGUUUAUUGCAGGAUAAAGAUUCAGAUCAGCCAAAGGAAGAGGCAUAAGGCAGCGUCAGGAAACCCCCAGGCACAGAAUCUCCAGCUGCCCCCUCCCAGCGUGCCCACCUUGCCAGGAUAAUCUGCUUAUUUCCGUGCAUCCCUUCCAAUUGAAUGUCGGAAGCCACAUCAUAUUAGCCCAGGGUCUCCGAACUAUGUCCUUUGGGGGAAAAUAAAGAACAUGACUCAUCGCUGUGUCAUUAUCAGAGCAAAAUUUUCUUCUUUGAGUUGAGUAAGUUCUCUUCCUAGGAUUAUAAUAAAUUGUACACAAAAUACUUCAGAGAACGUAGACACCACGCACACAAUGCCUCCAAGAGAAUGUAUCCUCAGUAACGUAAAGGCAGGGCAGACGUUCUGUUCAGAUCCAUAAUGUCCUUGGCCAAGUGUUUGCCCAGUACGACCAGAAGGAGGUACAUUUUUCCUGCCUCGUUCUACAUUGUUUCCGGCAACUUUACCUCUUCUCUUUUCCAGCCUCCCUAACUUGAUCUAUAUUUCUUUCAAUGAAAUAUAGGAAUAAUCUCAUUUACUGCCCGCUGGCAUGCCAACUACAUUUUAAAAUAAAAGCUUUUUUUUUUUGCAUGCAAGCAUGUCUUUUUAUGGUUGGAUAGAAGUUCAGUGAAAGCUUAAGGACAUCUUAUUUUUGGUGCUCCCAUUGUGGCUCAGUGGUAAUGCACCCCAACUAGUAUCCAGGAGGACACGGGUUCAACCCCUGGUCUCGCUCAGCGGGUGGAGGAUCCAGUGUGGCCAUGAGCUGUGGUGUAGGUCACAGACGCGCCCCGCAGAUCCGGCAUUGCUGUGGCUGUGGUGUAGGCCGGCAGCUGCAGCUGCGCUUAGACCCCUGGACUGGGAACUUCCAUGUGCUGCAAGUGCAGCCCUAAAAAGAAAAAAGAAAAAAA
RNAcentral lists this long non-coding RNA (5278 nucleotides) under Sus scrofa (pig). RNAcentral's name for it is "lncRNA (ENSSSCG00015055767.1)". The record is from RNAcentral. Lineage: Eukaryota; Metazoa; Chordata; Mammalia; Artiodactyla; Suidae.